CGGGACUCUCACGAGGCCUCGUAAUCGGAAUGAGUACACUUUAAAUAUUUUAACGAGGAACAAUUGGAGGGCAAGUCUGGUGCCAGCAGCCGCGGUAAUUCCAGCUCCAAUAGCGUAUACUAAAUUUGUUGCGGUUAAAAAGCUCGUAGUUGCAUUUGUGCGCCGCGCUGUCGGUGCACCGCAUCCGCGGUGAUACUGACACGUCUGCGGAGCAUAUCGUCGGUGAGCCGCCCGUAAAACGGCGGUUCAAUAUCAAAAUCCUAUCGCGGUGCUCUUCAGUGAGUGUCGAGGUGGGCCGGCAAUUUUACUUUGAACAAAUUAGAGUGCUCAAAGCGGGCUCAAAACGCUGCUUGAAUAUUUCGUGCAUGGAAUAAUAGAAUAUGAUCUCGGUUCUAUUUUGUUGGUUUUCAGAACUCCGAGGUAAUGAUUAAUAGGGAUAACUGGGGGCAUUCGUAUUGCGACGUUAGAGGUGAAAUUCUUGGAUCGUCGCAAGACGAACAUCAGCGAAAGCAUUUGCCAAAGGUGUUUUCAUCAAUCAAGAACGAAAGUUAGAGGUUCGAAGGCGAUUAGAUACCGCCCUAGUUCUAACCGUAAAUAUGUCAUCUAGCGAUCCGCCGACGUUAAUCAAAUGGCUCGGCGGGCAGCUUCCGGGAAACCAAAGAUUUUGGACUCCGGGGGGAGUAUGGUUGCAAAGCUGAAACUUAAAGGAA
This 710-nucleotide ribosomal RNA is filed under the name Diphtheroptila sp. 3 ex Glochidion acuminatum/Glochidion obovatum. Its description in RNAcentral is "SSU rRNA". It matches the Rfam family "Eukaryotic small subunit ribosomal RNA", at positions 486 to 1152 of the family's 1831-position model. Lineage: Eukaryota; Metazoa; Arthropoda; Insecta; Lepidoptera; Gracillariidae. The record is from RNAcentral.